GAUGAACGCUGGCGGCGUGCCUAAUACAUGCAAGUCGAGCGAACAGAUAAGGAGCUUGCUCCUUUGACGUUAGCGGCGGACGGGUGAGUAACACGUGGGUAACCUACCUAUAAGACUGGAAUAACUCCGGGAAACCGGGGCUAAUGCCGGAUAACAUUUAGAACCGCAUGGUUCUAAAGUGAAAGAUGGUUUUGCUAUCACUUAUAGAUGGACCCGCGCCGUAUUAGCUAGUUGGUAAGGUAACGGCUUACCAAGGCAACGAUACGUAGCCGACCUGAGAGGGUGAGCGGCCACACUGGAACUGAGACACGGUCCAGACUCCUACGGGAGGCAGCAGUAGGGAAUCUUCCGCAAUGGGCGAAAGCCUGACGGAGCAACGCCGCGUGAGUGAUGAAGGUCUUCGGAUCGUAAAACUCUGUUAUUAGGGAAGAACAAAUGUGUAAGUAACUGUGCACGUCUUGACGGUACCUAAUCAGAAAGCCACGGCUAACUACG
Molecule: ribosomal RNA, 495 nt
Filed under: uncultured bacterium
Lineage: Bacteria
Description: partial 16S ribosomal RNA
Rfam family: Bacterial small subunit ribosomal RNA
Source: RNAcentral